This 397-nucleotide long non-coding RNA is filed under the name Salvator merianae (Argentine black and white tegu). Its description in RNAcentral is "lncRNA (ENSSMRG00000013526.1)". The record is from RNAcentral. Lineage: Eukaryota; Metazoa; Chordata; Lepidosauria; Squamata; Teiidae.
CUCCCCAUGGCUCCGGAGGAGGACUUGCUCUNUUCAAAAGAAAACAUCACUCCAUGGGAUGACAUCUUGAGUUCUUUCUAUCUCACAACAGUUUCUGGAGCCACUGUCCAUUUCCGAGGGUCCCUAGCAACUGCUACACCGUAAUUCCAGCCAUGAAAACAGGAUGUGGCCAAGUAGCCUGUUGCUCUUGACUACUUAUGUUAUAAGCUAAUUAGAAUCCUAUUGUUUAGCAUAGUGAUUUCUGUAAGACUACCUGAUUUGCUCUUAUUUUAUUUUCUUCUGUCGUCAUUUGUGAGCUUGAGACAACAUCCAUGGAUUGUUUGCUUAUUUUGAAGAAAUGGCUCAAGCAGCCAAUUAGAAGACCAUUGUUCUAAAUGCUGGCUUGCCUCAUGUUGUG